RNAcentral lists this ribosomal RNA (561 nucleotides) under Klebsiella aerogenes. Its description in RNAcentral is "partial 23S ribosomal RNA". It matches the Rfam family "Bacterial large subunit ribosomal RNA", at positions 296 to 867 of the family's 2925-position model. Lineage: Bacteria; Pseudomonadati; Pseudomonadota; Gammaproteobacteria; Enterobacterales; Enterobacteriaceae. The record is from RNAcentral. RNAcentral also lists the same sequence under 1 other name.
AGCAGCCCAGAGUCUGAAUCAGCUUGUGUGUUAGUGGAACGGUCUGGAAAGUCCGACGGUACAGGGUGAUAGUCCCGUACACCAAAAUGCACAGGCUGUGAACUCGAAGAGUAGGGCGGGACACGUGGUAUCCUGUCUGAAUAUGGGGGGACCAUCCUCCAAGGCUAAAUACUCCUGACUGACCGAUAGUGAACCAGUACCGUGAGGGAAAGGCGAAAAGAACCCCGGCGAGGGGAGUGAAAAAGAACCUGAAACCGUGUACGUACAAGCAGUGGGAGCACCUUCGGGUGUGACUGCGUACCUUUUGUAUAAUGGGUCAGCGACUUAUAUUCUGUAGCAAGGUUAACCGUAUAGGGGAGCCGCAGGGAAACCGAGUCUUAACUGGGCGUUAAGUUGCAGGGUAUAGACCCGAAACCCGGUGAUCUAGCCAUGGGCAGGUUGAAGGUUGGGUAACACUAACUGGAGGACCGAACCGACUAAUGUUGAAAAAUUAGCGGAUGACUUGUGGCUGGGGGUGAAAGGCCAAUCAAACCGGGAGAUAGCUGGUUCUCCCCGAAAGCU